RNAcentral lists this ribosomal RNA (379 nucleotides) under uncultured bacterium. RNAcentral's name for it is "bacterial SSU rRNA". It matches the Rfam family "Bacterial small subunit ribosomal RNA", at positions 362 to 757 of the family's 1533-position model. The record is from RNAcentral.
UAUUGGACAAUGGGCGAAAGCCUGAUCCAGCAAUGCCGCGUGAGUGAUGAAGGCCUUAGGGUUGUAAAGCUCUUUUACCCGGGAUGAUAAUGACAGUACCGGGAGAAUAAGCUCCGGCUAACUCCGUGCCAGCAGCCGCGGUAAUACUGAGGGAGCUAGCGUUGUUCGGAAUUACUGGGCGUAAAGCGCACGUAGGCGGCUUUGUAAGUUAGAGGUGAAAGCCUGGAGCUCAACUCCAGAAUUGCCUUUGAUACUGCAUCGCUUGAAUCCAGGAGAGGUGAGUGGAAUUCCGAGUGUAGAGGUGAAAUUCGUAGAUAUUCGGAAGAACACCAGUGGCGAAGGCGGCUCACAUUAACUGGUAUUGACGCUGAGGUGCGAA